UACGUAGGGUGCAAGCGUUGUCCGGAAUUAUUGGGCGUAAAGAGCUCGUAGGCGGUCAGUCGCGUCUGCUGUGAAAACUCGGGGCUUAACCCCGGGCCUGCAGUGGGUACGGGCUGACUAGAGUGCGGUAGGGGAGACUGGAAUUCCUGGUGUAGCGGUGAAAUGCGCAGAUAUCAGGAGGAACACCGGUGGCGAAGGCGGGUCUCUGGGCCGUAACUGACGCUGAGGAGCGAAAGCGUGGGGAGCGAACAGG
RNAcentral lists this ribosomal RNA (253 nucleotides) under uncultured bacterium. Its description in RNAcentral is "partial 16S ribosomal RNA". It matches the Rfam family "Bacterial small subunit ribosomal RNA", at positions 524 to 776 of the family's 1533-position model. The record is from RNAcentral.